UCAAGAGCACUGGAUUUCUUUUCACUAUUGUCUUCAGUGAGAUAGAUGGGGAAAAGGCUCUUCAUCUUAAGCUUUUCCUUGCCUUCAGGACAGAUUGUACUUGUGGAGGGGGCUUCUGUUUUAACAGGAGCUUCUGGUGUAGCUGAGGGCAGCCAAAAUGCUUUCAUUGUUCGAAGUGCCUCCUCUUCAUAGGAAGUAACCUUCACACUGUUUGCCCCAUGGAAGCCAUUCUUGUCUCGGCUCUGGUUUCUAUCACUGUACUGUGGAACUGCACCAUGGUUUUGCUGAUCAAAAGCAUCCAG
This 302-nucleotide unclassified non-coding RNA is filed under the name Hevea brasiliensis (rubber tree). Lineage: Eukaryota; Viridiplantae; Streptophyta; Magnoliopsida; Malpighiales; Euphorbiaceae. The record is from RNAcentral.